This 491-nucleotide ribosomal RNA is filed under the name uncultured bacterium. Its description in RNAcentral is "partial 16S ribosomal RNA". It matches the Rfam family "Bacterial small subunit ribosomal RNA", at positions 29 to 506 of the family's 1533-position model. The record is from RNAcentral.
AGUGAACGCUGGCGGUAGGCCUAACACAUGCAAGUCGAACGGCAGCACAGUAAGAGCUUGCUCUUACGGGUGGCGAGUGGCGGACGGGUGAGGAAUACAUCGGAAUCUACUUUUUCGUGGGGGAUAACGUAGGGAAACUUACGCUAAUACCGCAUACGACCUACGGGUGAAAGCAGGGGAUCUUCGGACCUUGCGCGAUUGAAUGAGCCGAUGUCGGAUUAGCUAGUUGGCGGGGUAAAGGCCCACCAAGGCGACGAUCCGUAGCUGGUCUGAGAGGAUGAUCAGCCACACUGGAACUGAGACACGGUCCAGACUCCUACGGGAGGCAGCAGUGGGGAAUAUUGGACAAUGGGCGCAAGCCUGAUCCAGCCAUACCGCGUGGGUGAAGAAGGCCUUCGUGUUGUAAAGCCCUUUUGUUGGGAAAGAAAAGCAGCAGGUUAAUACCCCGCUGUUCUGACGGUACCAAAAGAAUAAGCACCGGCUAACUUCGU